GACGAACGCUGGCGGCGUGCCUAAUACAUGCAAGUAGAACGCACAGUUUAUACCGUAGCUUGCUACACCAUAGACUGCGAGUUGCGAACGGGUGAGUAACGCGUAGGUAACCUGCCUGGUAGCGGGGGAUAACUAUUGGAAACGAUAGCUAAUACCGCAUAAUAUUAAUUAUUGCAUGAUAAUUAAUUGAAAGGUGCAAUUGCACCACUACCAGAUGGACCUGCGUUGUAUUAGCUAGUAGGUGAGGUAACGGCUCACCUAGGCGACGAUACAUAGCCGACCUGAGAGGGUGAUCGGCCACACUGGGACUGAGACACGGCCCAGACUCCUACGGGAGGCAGCAGUAGGGAAUCUUCGGCAAUGGACGAAAGUCUGACCGAGCAACGCCGCGUGAGUGAAGAAGGUUUUCGGAUCGUAAAGCUCUGUUGUAAGAGAAGAACGGGUGUGAGAGUGGAAAGUUCACACUGUGACGGUAUCUUACCAGAAAGGGACGGCUAACUACGUG
RNAcentral lists this ribosomal RNA (505 nucleotides) under uncultured bacterium. RNAcentral's name for it is "partial 16S ribosomal RNA". It matches the Rfam family "Bacterial small subunit ribosomal RNA", at positions 28 to 507 of the family's 1533-position model. The record is from RNAcentral.